CCCGGUGACUAUAUUGUUAAACGGCCGCGGUACCCUAACCGUGCAAAGGUAGCAUAAUCAUUUGCCUUUUAAUUGGAGGCUGGUAUGAAUGGUUUGACGAGAGCUGUGCUGUCUCUUCUAAAAUAUUUAGAAAUUAACUUUUAGGUGAAGAGGCCUAAAUUUAUUUAAGGGACAAGAAGACCCUGUUGAGCUUUAGUGAUGUUGUAAAUGGUGAAAAGUAAAAUGUUACUAAUUUGUUAUGUAUUUAUUAUAAUAAAAAUUUACAAAUAAUCUUUAGUUGGGGCGACUGAGGAACAUAAAAAGCUUCCUUAUAUAUAAAAUUAUUUAAAUUAUUAAGUAGGUGUUAAUGCUUAUGUGUUAUUUUGAUCCAAGUUAUUUUGAUUAAAGGAAAAAGUUACCACAGGGAUAACAGCGUAAUCUUUCUGGAGAGAUCUUAUCGAAAGAAGGGUUUGCGACCUCGAUGUUGGACUAAGAUAUCCUAAGGGUGCAGAAGCUCUUAAAGGUUGGUCUGUUCGACCAUUAAAAUCUU
Molecule: ribosomal RNA, 529 nt
Filed under: Steromphala pennanti
Lineage: Eukaryota; Metazoa; Mollusca; Gastropoda; Trochida; Trochidae
Description: Gibbula pennanti partial 16S ribosomal RNA
Rfam family: Bacterial large subunit ribosomal RNA
Source: RNAcentral